UACGAAGGGUGCUAGCGUUGUUCGGAUUUACUGGGCGUAAAGCGCACGUAGGCGGCUUUUUAAGUCAGGGGUGAAAUCCUGGAGCUCAACUCCAGAACUGCCUUUGAUACUGAGAGGCUUGAGUCCGGGAGAGGUGAGUGGAACUGCGAGUGUAGAGGUGAAAUUCGUAGAUAUUCGCAAGAACACCAGUGGCGAAGGCGGCUCACUGGCCCGGUACUGACGCUGAGGUGCGAAAGCGUGGGGAGCAAACAGG
Molecule: ribosomal RNA, 253 nt
Filed under: uncultured bacterium
Lineage: Bacteria
Description: partial 16S ribosomal RNA
Rfam family: Bacterial small subunit ribosomal RNA
Source: RNAcentral